GGGGUCAUAGUUAAAUGGAAGAAUAUAUUGUUCGCAACAAUAGGAUGUGGGUUCGAUUCCCACUGGCUCCA
This 71-nucleotide transfer RNA is filed under the name Endomicrobium sp. RNAcentral describes it as "tRNA-Ala". It matches the Rfam family "tRNA". Rfam says of the family: Transfer RNA (tRNA) molecules are approximately 80 nucleotides in length. Their secondary structure includes four short double-helical elements and three loops (D, anti-codon, and T loops). Further hydrogen bonds mediate the characteristic L-shaped molecular structure. tRNAs have two regions of fundamental functional importance: the anti-codon, which is responsible for specific mRNA codon recognition, and the 3' end, to which the tRNAs corresponding amino acid is attached (by aminoacyl-tRNA synthetases). tRNAs cope with the degeneracy of the genetic code in two manners: having more than one tRNA (with a specific anti-codon) for a particular amino acid; and 'wobble' base-pairing, i.e. permitting non-standard base-pairing at the 3rd anti-codon position. Lineage: Bacteria; Pseudomonadati; Elusimicrobiota; Endomicrobiia; Endomicrobiales; Endomicrobiaceae. The record is from RNAcentral.